CCCAGCGCUGGUGGAGCCGAUUCCUCGGAGUGAAACGCUCUAGAGGUGUGCUGGUUACCUGAACGUCUAAGCAGGAUGAAGGCUUCCUGGCGCAACUGUCCCCGAGCGAAGAGGAGGAGAGCCCUUGGUGUUGAUUCAGAUUUCUGACUUCCUAUAUCGACAUAAAGGUGGCUGAAGAUCAGGCCAGGUGAAAGAUCUGAUGUUUCCCUUGCUUCAUAUGGGCAUUUCGCGUCUUGAACUGGACUGAGCAACACAGCAUUCCAAGGACUUCUGCUUUUUCCAGGGAUCGAACUGGGGACCUUGCGCUUGUGAGGCAGGCUGUGGAACCACUGAGCUAAAUCUCCGGCCCUUUCCAGUUUUUUGGAGAAACUCAAGGGAAGACUCCAUCAAUGAAGGCAUCCUCACAAGUCAGGAAGACACCCCUGGAGGUGUGGCCUCUACGUUCCAGAAGUGCGAGGAGAUGUGUGCUUUUCUACAGAAG
Heterocephalus glaber (naked mole-rat) is the source of this 481-nucleotide non-coding RNA. Lineage: Eukaryota; Metazoa; Chordata; Mammalia; Rodentia; Bathyergidae. The record is from RefSeq and is a predicted model, not a curated record.